GAUGAACGCUGGCGGCGUGCUUAACACAUGCAAGUCGAACGAGAAGUGGAGACGGAAACCUUCGGGCGGAAGACUUUACUUCGAGUGGCGGACGGGUGAGUAACGCGUGGGUAACCUGCCUCAUACAGGGGGAUAACAGUUGGAAACGACUGUUAAUACCGCAUAAGACCACAGCACCGCAUGGUGCGGGGGUAAAAACUCCGGUGGUAUGAGAUGGACCCGCGUUCGAUUAGCCAGUUGGCGGGGUAACGGCCCACCAAAGCGACGAUCGAUAGCCGAUCUGAGAGGAUGACCGGCCACAUUGGGACUGAGACACGGCCCAGACUCCUACGGGAGGCAGCAGUAGGGUAUAGUGCACAAUGGGGGAAACCCUGAUGCAGCGACGCCGCGUGAGUGAAGAAGUAUUUCGGUAUGUAAAGCUCUAUCAGCAGGGAAGAAAAUGACAGUACCUGAGUAAGAAGCCCCGGCUAACUACGUG
This 478-nucleotide ribosomal RNA is filed under the name uncultured bacterium. RNAcentral describes it as "partial 16S ribosomal RNA". It matches the Rfam family "Bacterial small subunit ribosomal RNA", at positions 28 to 507 of the family's 1533-position model. The record is from RNAcentral.